UUUUGCCAGGUCCCCCAAAGGGGAACCACCCAUUCUUUGGGCCAAUUCACGCCCAAGUCCCAGGGGAUGGAUAAGGGUUUUUGCGCGUGCUUUUGAAAAUAAAACCCCACAAGUGUCCCCCCCCUUUUCGGGUUUAUAUAGUUUUUUUUUUUCUGCUCAGAGCGAACGCUGGCGGCAGGCUUAACACAUGCAAGUCGAGCGGGCCCUUUCGGGGUCAGCGGCAGACGGGUGAGUAACACGUGGGAACGUGCCCUUCGGUUCGGAAUAACUCAGGGAAACUUGAGCUAAUACGGGAUACGCCCUUUUGGGGAAAGGUUUACUGCCCGAGGGAUCGGCCCCGCGUCUGAUAAGCUAGUUGGUGGGGGUAACGGGCCUACCCAAGGCGACCGAUCAGUAGCUGGUCUGAGAAGGAAUGGAUCAGCCCACACUGGGACUGAGACACGGGCCCAGACUCCUUACGGGGAGGCAGCAGUGGGGGAAUAUUUGGACAAAUGGGGCGCAAAGCCUGAUCCAGCCCAUGCCCGCGUUGAGUGAUGAAGGCCUUAGGGGUUGUAAAAGCUCUUUUUGUCCGGGACGAUAAUGACGGUACCGGGAAGAAUAAGCCCCGGCUAACUUCGUGCCAGCAGCCGCGGUAAUACGAAGGGGGCUAGCGUUGCUCGGAAUCACUGGGCGUAAAGGGCGCGUAGGCGGCUUUUUAAGUCGGGGGUGAAAGCCUGUGGCUCAACCACAGAAUUGCCUUCGAUACUGGAAAGCUUGAGACCGGAAGAGGACAGCGGAACUGCGAGUGUAGAGGUGAAAUUCGUAGAUAUUCGCAAGAACACCAGUGGCGAAGGCGGCUGUCUGGUCCGGUUCUGACGCUGAGGCGCGAAAGCGUGGGGAGCAAACAGGAUUAGAUACCCUGGUAGUCCACGCCGUAAACGAUGAAUGCCAGCCGUUGGUCUGCUUGCAGGUCAGUGGCGCCGCUAACGCAUUAAGCAUCCGCCUGGGAGAUCGCACUUUU
This 1000-nucleotide ribosomal RNA is filed under the name Methylorubrum salsuginis. RNAcentral describes it as "bacterial SSU rRNA". The stretch from base 133 to 999 matches the Rfam family "Bacterial small subunit ribosomal RNA". Lineage: Bacteria; Pseudomonadati; Pseudomonadota; Alphaproteobacteria; Hyphomicrobiales; Methylobacteriaceae. The record is from RNAcentral.